CUCUGGGCCUCUGCCUGUCUGUCUUUCGCCCUCCCCCCUCCCCUUCCCCUUAUGUUGUCUAUAAAAUUAGGAUAACACUAUUCAUGCCACCUACCCUCAAAGGAUGUGGAGGAGGCAGUGAGAAGACGCAUGACAAGCACCAUUAGGAAUAUGCUCUAUGAUCUAAGGCUCUAGGAAGAAAGAAGAGAAGGAGCAUUUCAGGGUCUUUGUGUGUCAGGCACGGUGCUAAAGGCUGGGAGGACCAACACAAGUGAAUCAGCAGCUGGGGAGGUACCCUGUGGGGGAGGGGGUCCAGCAGUCGGCAGCAGAGCCAAGAGGGUAAGGAUGGCUGGUGGCCUGGGCCUCUCCACAAAGUGGAGGUCCGAGGCGGGCCACAGGGACAGGGUCACAUCAGUUCAGCUGCAUUUGCCAGUGAUUUUGAAAUCUGAAUACAUCUUGCCCAGGCAAGUUUACCUUGAAUUCUUUUUCUGCCUUUUCUCCUGUGUAAGCUGGCUAAGAGCCCUGACAUUUCUUGUUUGUUUAGUUACAGACAGAAAUCCCCACAAAAAUCUAACAAGUGGAAGGAGAGAGUGAAAUUAUUGCGCCCACUCACUUUUGUCCCAGAUCCCAGCCUGGUUGACGAGGCUGUAAAACAUCAGGACACAAUUAUCCUUGGCUAGAGCAGCGGGGUUUGGUUGUCCCUCUGCAGUGGCUACUGCUUUGACCAUCCUGGAAGAAGUCUGCAAGGCUCCUGCUCACUGGCACUGGCCUCUAGCCUGUGACUCAAUUUGGCUGGACCCUGGAUUUCCUCUGGGGAGAGGGGAGAUGGAGGGGGGCAGUUCACGCUUUGCAACUUGCAAGGCUACUCACUGUGUUUCCUCCUUUGCUACCCACCUUCAGAUUCUACCUGUGCUGAGUUUAUCCUCAGAGAUCUCCCUUCACCUCAGCAGUCUCUGACCCAGGGAUAUGGCCCUCACAGUCUCAGGCCCUUUUUUCUGGGCACAGUUCAGUACCUCCCCUAACCUGAUCUAGCUUCCCCUCUAGCAGGCUGGACUUUGAUCUGGAUCAGUCUUAUGACAGCACCAUCGCUCUCUGGUUGCUAGGCAUCCACUUCUUGGAAGGAAAGCUUUCUCUAAUAACUGGAUGAACAUUGACUCUUUCAGCUCCCUUUAAUGUGGGAUUCUCCCCUUCCUUAGAAGAGACGGAGGCCCCCAAUUCCAUUUGCUUCAACUCAGGACCAAGAAGCCUCUCUGGGGUAGGGGUUGGAGGGAAAGAGGGAUUCCCUUCCCAAAGAAAUGAUAGCCCCUUGGGACUAGUUAGCAGUUACUGUCCUAGGAAUAGGGGCUCCUGUGUCCUGGGGUUGGUGGACAUUGUGGUGCAGAGUUCUGCAUGGGGAACCUGGAUCUGACCUGCUUUAGACCCUCUGUGCUUGGAUUUCCUCACAUGCCAAAUGGGGCAAUCGAACACAUAUAUUCUAUCUUGUGGGGUUGUGGGUGGGUCGCCUGAAGCUUGCUGGUGUGAGGGCUUAUUUUCUUAUUGAAGGUUGAUGUGAAACCUCUCUCCUUUCCCCCACAUCAGAACCUCUGAGAACCAGCCAGUCCACACAUACAUGAUAAAAUAAAAAGUGUUAAUAACUGAUAUUUAUGCAGCACCUUAAA
Vombatus ursinus (common wombat) is the source of this 1637-nucleotide long non-coding RNA. RefSeq lists it as uncharacterized. Lineage: Eukaryota; Metazoa; Chordata; Mammalia; Diprotodontia; Vombatidae. The record is from RefSeq and is a predicted model, not a curated record. The transcript is spliced from 2 exons.